AUUGAACGCUGGCGGCAGGCCUAACACAUGCAAGUCGAGCGGAUGAAGGGAGCUUGCUCCUGGAUUCAGCGGCGGACGGGUGAGUAAUGCCUAGGAAUCUGCCUGGUAGUGGGGGAUAACGUCCGGAAACGGGCGCUAAUACCGCAUACGUCCUGAGGGAGAAAGUGGGGGAUCUUCGGACCUCACGCUAUCAGAUGAGCCUAGGUCGGAUUAGCUAGUUGGUGGGGUAAAGGCCUACCAAGGCGACGAUCCGUAACUGGUCUGAGAGGAUGAUCAGUCAAACUGGAACUGAGACACGGUCCAGACUCCUACGGGAGGCAGCAGUGGGGAAUAUUGGACAAUGGGCGAAAGCCUGAUCCAGCCAUGCCGCGUGUGUGAAGAAAGUCUUCGGAUUGUAAAGCACAUUAAGUUGGGAGGAAGGGCAGUAAGUUAAUACCUUGCUGUUUUGACGUUACCAACAGAAUAAGCACCGGCUAACUUCGUG
RNAcentral lists this ribosomal RNA (484 nucleotides) under uncultured bacterium. RNAcentral describes it as "partial 16S ribosomal RNA". It matches the Rfam family "Bacterial small subunit ribosomal RNA", at positions 30 to 507 of the family's 1533-position model. The record is from RNAcentral.